Molecule: ribosomal RNA, 254 nt
Filed under: uncultured bacterium
Lineage: Bacteria
Description: partial 16S ribosomal RNA
Rfam family: Bacterial small subunit ribosomal RNA
Source: RNAcentral
UACGUAGGUGACCAGCGUUGUCCGGAUUUACUGGGCGUAAAGAGCGCGCAGGCGGUCGUUCAAGUCGAGUGUGAAAGCCCCCGGCUCAACUGGGGAGGGUCAUUCGAUACUGAUCGACUUGAAGGCAGGAGAGGGAAGUGGAAUUCCCGGUGUAGUGGUGAAAUGCGUAGAUAUCGGGAGGAACACCUGUGGCGAAGGCGGCCACCUGGACAACAACUGACGCUGAGACGCGAAAAGCGUGGGUAGCAAACAGG